RNAcentral lists this ribosomal RNA (562 nucleotides) under uncultured bacterium. RNAcentral's name for it is "bacterial SSU rRNA". It matches the Rfam family "Bacterial small subunit ribosomal RNA", at positions 338 to 916 of the family's 1533-position model. The record is from RNAcentral.
CCUACGGGAGGCAGCAGUGGGGAAUAUUGGACAAUGGGCGAAAGCCUGAUCCAGCAAUGCCGCGUGAGUGAUGAAGGCCUUCGGGUCGUAAAGCUCUUUUACCAGGGAUGAUAAUGACAGUACCUGGAGAAUAAGCUCCGGCUAACUCCGUGCCAGCAGCCGCGGUAAUACGGAGGGAGCUAGCGUUGUUCGGAAUUACUGGGCGUAAAGAGUACGUAGGCGGUUAUUCAAGUCAGAGGUGAAAGCCCGGGGCUCAACCCCGGAACUGCCUUUGAAACUAGAUAACUAGAGUCUUGGAGAGGUUAGUGGAAUUCCGAGUGUAGAGGUGAAAUUCGUAGAUAUUCGGAAGAACACCAGUGGCGAAGGCGACUAACUGGACAAGUACUGACGCUGAGGUACGAAAGCGUGGGGAGCAAACAGGAUUAGAUACCCUGGUAGUCCACGCCGUAAACGAUGAUAACUAGUUGUUCGGUCACUUGGUGACUGAGUGACGCAGCUAACGCAUUAAGUUAUCCGCCUGGGGAGUACGGUCGCAAGAUUAAAACUUAAAUGAAAUUGACGG